RNAcentral lists this ribosomal RNA (434 nucleotides) under uncultured Clostridium sp. RNAcentral's name for it is "partial 16S ribosomal RNA". It matches the Rfam family "Bacterial small subunit ribosomal RNA", at positions 341 to 792 of the family's 1533-position model. The record is from RNAcentral. RNAcentral also lists the same sequence under 1 other name. Lineage: Bacteria; Bacillati; Bacillota; Clostridia; Eubacteriales; Clostridiaceae.
ACGGAAGGCAGCAGUGGGGAAUAUUGGACAAUGGGGGAAACCCUGAUCCAGCGACGCCGCGUGAGUGAAGAAGUAUUUCGGUAUGUAAAGCUCUAUCAGCAAGGAAGAAAAUGACGGUACUUGACUAAGAAGCUCCGGCUAAAUACGUGCCAGCAGCCGCGGUAAUACGUGUGGAGCAAGCGUUAUCCGGAUUUACUGGGUGUAAAGGGAGCGUAGACGGCAAAGCAAGUCUGAAGUGAAAUCCCGGGGCUCAACCCCGGAACUGCUUUGGAAACUGUUUAGCUAGAGUGCAGGAGAGGUAAGCGGAAUUCCUAGUGUAGCGGUGAAAUGCGUAGAUAUUAGGAGGAACACCAGUGGCGAAGGCGGCUUACUGGACUGUAACUGACGUUGAGGCUCGAAAGCGUGGGGAGCAAACAGGAUUAGAUACCCUGGUA